GAUUGUUUAGUUUAUAAAAAACGAGUAUUUUGAAAGUACUUAAAAAGAAAAUAACUCUUAACAAUCG
This 67-nucleotide transfer RNA is filed under the name Metacarcinus magister (Dungeness crab). RNAcentral's name for it is "tRNA-Ser". The record is from RNAcentral. Lineage: Eukaryota; Metazoa; Arthropoda; Malacostraca; Decapoda; Cancridae.